GCUUCCGUUGCGCAAUUGGUUAGCGCGUUCGGCUGUUAACCGAAAGGUUAGUGGUUCAUGCCCACCCGGGAGCG
RNAcentral lists this transfer RNA (74 nucleotides) under Anisakis simplex (herring worm). It matches the Rfam family "tRNA". Rfam says of the family: Transfer RNA (tRNA) molecules are approximately 80 nucleotides in length. Their secondary structure includes four short double-helical elements and three loops (D, anti-codon, and T loops). Further hydrogen bonds mediate the characteristic L-shaped molecular structure. tRNAs have two regions of fundamental functional importance: the anti-codon, which is responsible for specific mRNA codon recognition, and the 3' end, to which the tRNAs corresponding amino acid is attached (by aminoacyl-tRNA synthetases). tRNAs cope with the degeneracy of the genetic code in two manners: having more than one tRNA (with a specific anti-codon) for a particular amino acid; and 'wobble' base-pairing, i.e. permitting non-standard base-pairing at the 3rd anti-codon position. Lineage: Eukaryota; Metazoa; Nematoda; Chromadorea; Rhabditida; Anisakidae. The record is from Rfam by way of RNAcentral.